Molecule: long non-coding RNA, 2540 nt
Organism: Lynx canadensis (Canada lynx)
Lineage: Eukaryota; Metazoa; Chordata; Mammalia; Carnivora; Felidae
Exons: 3
Source: RefSeq, a predicted model, not a curated record
ACCGCGAGAUCACGACCUGAGCCACAACCAAGAGUCGGAUGUUUAACUGCUGACCCAGGUGUCCCACUAACUACGUCCCCUGCUGACAUCAUCUGCAUUUAAUUACUACCUUUUAUGGUGUCUGUUUACAUAUAAAUCGUAUUACACGUCUCGUUUUAGCUGUUAAGGAUUGCCUUGCACUUAAGACUUUCUAAAUAACGUUACGCGUGGUCGUUUACUGAGCCAUUAGUGAUUUAUUUCUUCCUUUCUCCCAUUUUUUCCUGUAUGUUUUGCCUGCUACCAUGUAUCGAAGGGUGGUUUUGGAUCAGAAGCUCUAGUCGAGGCUGGAUAUUUCAACAUGAAUGUGUUCUGUUCCUUCCUGGCUCUUCUGAGCUCAGGACGCAGUCACGUUUCCCCUUUCCAGUCCUUGGACGCUGUUGGCGUCCAGUUCUGCUUAAAUGCACUAAUAUUAAAAAUAUGAAUCCGUUACAAACAUCCAUUAAUCCACUAAAAUCCAUUAAUAUUAUAAACCAAAGGAUACUGAGGUACAGAUAUAAAAACAUGUAAGAACACAAACUCAUCACGUAAUGGCGAACAUUUAAGUGGCCUCCUGGGGGGUUUAGUGACACCUACGAUUGGCCCCUGUGAGGAUCUAAGCUUUACUUUGAGCCAGCUUCAACACGUGAACCCUGUUAUGAAGUGUAUCUGGUUUCUGGCGGUGGCCAGGUCAUAGACCCUGCCCAGACUCCUGUGACUUGUCCACAUUCUUAGGGGUCGGCCACCAUGAUAUGGGUGAUUGCUGAUGUUGAAACUCACGGUCCUCAGUUCCAUGGAGGAUGUCUGGGGUGGGGGCUCUUGACCCACAUGGGGAACCCAGGUCCAGCCAGCGUGGCCUUCUGUUUUCUUUGGCCCACGUGGGUAUACGCAGUGAUUCCUUCCGUCCCGUAACCAAAUAGACUCACACUCCUAAAUGUGAAUCUUUUCUUACGCUUUUGCAAAACAUGACUCCGCAGUUUAAAAUAUUUUGUGUGUGUGUGUCACAUGGCCCUUCCCACAUUUCACUUUUUGAAAACCUAUGGUUUCUUACAGUGAUUCCUCCUCACGGACCCACGUAGGCAUCUCCCUGUCAUGAACAAUCGGGUCUGUUGAACGGAACACAUUUCUCAGGCUUUGGGACGGGUGGAUACUUCUUGGUCUACCUCACCGUUUUCUUUUCCUCGUCAGAGUGUUGUUUUUCCUUCAGGGAUGCAUCCAAGUGCCCGUUGUCUGCAUAGAUGGGGAAAUGUUUGAACAGUUUUUGACAAGUCCUUGCAUGGGCUGUCUUUACCAAUGUCUGCAUCUUCCCUCGCAGAUGGAGAGGGGUGUUUGCAGAUGUGGGGGUCUUACAGGAGAGAGGGCCUGUCUGAGUGUGCAUUUCUAGACGUCUUCUUCACUUUUAGCACCUCUGUGAUGUGUUUAUGUCUCCCUGGGACCUGAGCACAUCAGGGGACAGGGCGUGUGAGCAGACAGACUGGGUCCUCUAGGAGACUCCUGCUGUAUCUGGGAUUUCUGCCGCCAUGUGGAAUGACUUGAUCAAAGUGACAUCAGCUCUUGAACACAAGGAGAAAUAGGUGCCCUCUGAGGGCCUGCUGAAUUAGGCUAGUGGCAGAGAGGAAGCUGGUGGAGCAGGACAGGGAGGGAACGUCUGGUCUGAGAAAAGACAGAGGCUGUCAUCCAGCCCUCGUUAUCUCUGCCCCUGUGACUUCUCCAGUGCACUUGUCUGUUUCAUCUCCUUAAUUCCUUAUGAAACUGGGCAAUGUUGCAAUGCGAGCAAAAAUCAUUCCAUUCCUGUGCUGUUUGCUGCAGUGUGGUGGUUUAGGUCAUGAUGACAUCUAGUUGAUUAGGAGAUCAUGAGGUCUAGUUGGGUUGGGUCAUGAUGAAGUCUAGUCGGGUUAAGUGAUGAUGAGGUCUAGUUGACUUAUAUCAUGAUGAGGUCUGCUUGGGUUAUAUCAUGAUGAGGUUUAGUUGACUUAUAUCAUGAUGAAGUCUAGAUGGGUUAUGUCAUGAUGAGGUCUAGUUGGUUAGGUGAUGAUGAGGUCUAGUUGACUUAUAUCAUGAUGAGGCUUAGUUGACUUAUAUCAUGAUGAAGUCUAGAUGGGUUAUAUCAUGAUGAGGUCUAGUUGGUUAGGUGAUGAUGAGGUCUAGUUGACUUAUAUCAUGAUGAGGUCUGGUUGGGUUAUAUCAUGUUGAGGUCUAGUUGACUUAUAUCAUGAUGAAGUCUAGAUGGGUUACGUCAUGAUGAGGUCUAGUUGGGUUGGGUGAUGAUGAGGUCUAGUUGGGUUAGGUGGUGAUGAGGUCUAGUUGACUUAUAUCAUGAUGAGGUCUGGUGGGUUGGGUGAUGAUGAGGUCUAGUUGACUUACAUCAUGAUGAGGUCUGCUUGGGUUAUAUCAUGAUGAGGUCUAGUUGGUUAGGUGAUGAUGAGGUCUAGUUGACUUAUAUCAUGAUGAGGUCUGGUUGGGUUAUAUCAUGAUGAGGUCUAGUUGACUUAUAUCAUGAUGAAGUCUAGAUGGGUUAUGUCAUG